UACGUAGGGGGCUAGCGUUGUCCGGAUUUAUUGGGCGUAAAGCGCGUGUAGGCGGUUGCCCAAGUCGGGUGUGAAAGCCUUGAGCUCAACUCAAGAAAUGCACUCGGUACUGGGUGACUAGAGGACCGGAGAGGAUAGUGGAAUUCCCAGUGUAGUGGUGAAAUACGUAGAGAUUGGGAAGAACACCAGUGGCGAAGGCGGCUAUCUGGACGGUUUCUGACGCUAAGACGCGAAAGCGUGGGGAGCAAACAGG
This 253-nucleotide ribosomal RNA is filed under the name uncultured bacterium. RNAcentral describes it as "partial 16S ribosomal RNA". It matches the Rfam family "Bacterial small subunit ribosomal RNA", at positions 524 to 776 of the family's 1533-position model. The record is from RNAcentral.